Panicum hallii is the source of this 571-nucleotide long non-coding RNA. RefSeq lists it as uncharacterized. NCBI's taxonomy places the organism in Eukaryota, Viridiplantae, Streptophyta, Magnoliopsida, Poales, Poaceae. The transcript has 2 exons. The record is from RefSeq and is a predicted model, not a curated record.
CUGUCCGCUUCACUUCACAGUCAAUGUUGCAUCAGCAGCAAAACCCUAGUACCAUUUUUGCGCUCAUGUGGUGUGAAGAACAUGCUGGAAAAGGACAACGGGCAGUUUCAGUAGCACAUUCCAACCUAACCUACACGAAAGUGGCCACAGGGAAAUUGGUGCUACCAGGUUUACCCUCUGUGAAAGAGGAAAGAACUUGGUAACAGUAUGCGUGCAAGGAUUACAAAUGCUGGAUGAUCAAGGAACCUCCUUUAUAUUGUCCAUGGGAAUCUGACAUUCAAAGAAAUAAGGAACAAACGUCGUGAUCUCACACAGAAUUGUCAAAAAGUUUUUAAUUGUAGCUUCUUAGGCAUGUCUCUCGGAGUGAUAUGUUCCGUGUGCUCUCUUCUAAAGUUAGAGCCUAACUAUGUGUAUAAUGUUCUCUUGGCCUGUUUGGAGUUAUACUGCAUAGAAAUCUGUAUGAUCCAGUUUAGCCAUGUACAUUUGGAAUAAGAUCAGGCUUGGAUCAGAGAUGAAUAUACUGUUCCUAUCUAAGAACUAGAGAAUGAAUCUAGUCUGGUUCAUUGAACUA